This 253-nucleotide ribosomal RNA is filed under the name uncultured bacterium. RNAcentral's name for it is "partial 16S ribosomal RNA". It matches the Rfam family "Bacterial small subunit ribosomal RNA", at positions 524 to 776 of the family's 1533-position model. The record is from RNAcentral.
UACGUAGGGUGCAAGCGUUACUCGGAAUUACUGGGCGUAAAGCGUGCGCAGGCGGUUGUGCAAGACAGGUGUGAAAUCCCCGGGCUUAGCCUGGGAACUGCAUUUGUGACUGCACAGCUGGAGUGCGGCAGAGGGGGAUGGAAUUCCGCGUGUAGCAGUGAAAUGCGUAGAUAUGCGGAGGAACACCGAUGGCGAAGGCAAUCCCCUGGGCCUGCACUGACGCUCAUGCACGAAAGCGUGGGGAGCAAACAGG